This 253-nucleotide ribosomal RNA is filed under the name uncultured bacterium. RNAcentral's name for it is "partial 16S ribosomal RNA". It matches the Rfam family "Bacterial small subunit ribosomal RNA", at positions 524 to 776 of the family's 1533-position model. The record is from RNAcentral.
UACGUAGGGGGCAAGCGUUGUCCGGAUUUAUUGGGCGUAAAGGGCGCGUAGGCGGCUUUGCAAGUGACGGGUGAAAUCCCUCGGCUUAACCGAGGAACUGCCUGUCAAACUGCAUGGCUUGAGACCGGGAGAGGUGAGUGGAAUUCCCAGUGUAGCGGUGAAAUGCGUAGAUAUUGGGAGGAACACCAGUGGCGAAGGCGGCUCACUGGACCGGUACUGACGCUGAUGCGCGAAAGCGUGGGGAGCAAACAGG